RNAcentral lists this ribosomal RNA (387 nucleotides) under uncultured bacterium. RNAcentral describes it as "bacterial SSU rRNA". It matches the Rfam family "Bacterial small subunit ribosomal RNA", at positions 28 to 410 of the family's 1533-position model. The record is from RNAcentral.
GAUGAACGCUGGCGGCGUGCUUAACACAUGCAAGUCGAACGGACAAGGUGAAACCUAGUGAUCCUUGUUAGUGGCGGACGGGUGAGUAACGCGUGGGCAACCUGCCUCAUACAGGGGGGAUAACAGUUAGAAAUAGCUGCUAAUACCGCAUAAGCGCACAGUACCGCAUGGUACGGUGUGAAAAACUCCGGUGGUAUGAGAUGGACCCGCGUCUGAUUAGCUAGUUGGUGGGGUAAAGGCCUACCAAGGCGACGAUCAGUAGCCGGCCUGAGAGGGUGACCGGCCACAUUGGGACUGAGACACGGGCCCAAACUCCUACGGGAGGCAGCAGUGGGGAAUAUUGCACAAUGGGGGAAACCCUGAUGCAGCAACGCCGCGUGAAGGAAG